GCCUGACGCAGCGACGCGCGUGGGGGAAGAAGGCUUCGGGUUGUAAACCCUUCAGGAAGGACGAAGCCACUCGGGUGAAUAGCCCAGAGGGUGACGGUACUUCCAGAAGAAGCCCCGGCUAACUACGUGCCAGCAGCCGCGGUAAUACGUAGGGGGCAAGCGUUGUCCGGAUUAUUGGGCGUAAAGAGCGUGUAGGCGGUUAGGUAGGUCCGUUGUGAAAACUCGAGGCUCAACCUCGAGACGCCGAUGGAAACCAUCUAACUAGAGUCCGGAAGAGGAGAGUGGAAUUCCUGGUGUAGCGGUGAAAUGCGCAGAUAUCAGGAAGAACACCCGUGGCUAAGGCGGCUCUCUAGUACGGUACUGACGCUGAGACGCGAAAGCGUGGGGAGCGAACAGGAUUAGAUACCCUGGUAGUCCACGCCGUAAACGAUGGGUGCUAGGUGUAGGGGGUGUCGACUCCCUCUGGGCCGAAGCUAACGCAUUAAGCACCCCGCCUGGGGGGUACGGCCGCAAGGCUA
Molecule: ribosomal RNA, 518 nt
Filed under: uncultured bacterium
Lineage: Bacteria
Description: bacterial SSU rRNA
Rfam family: Bacterial small subunit ribosomal RNA
Source: RNAcentral